GACGGAGGGGGCGAGCGUUAUUCGGAAUUAUUGGGCGUAAAGGGCGCGUAGGCGGCUUUGUAAGUCAAAGGUGAAAUCCCUCGGCUCAACUGAGGAACUGCCUUUGAAACUGCGAGGCUUGAGGCCGGGAGGGGGUAGCGGAAUUCCCAAUGUAGCGGUGAAAUGCGUAGAUAUUGGGAGGAACACCAGUGGCGAAGGCGGCUACCUGGACCGGUUCUGACGCUGAUGCGCGAAAGCGUGGGUAGCAAACAGG
Molecule: ribosomal RNA, 253 nt
Filed under: uncultured Acidobacteriota bacterium
Lineage: Bacteria; Pseudomonadati; Acidobacteriota
Description: uncultured Acidobacteria bacterium partial 16S ribosomal RNA
Rfam family: Bacterial small subunit ribosomal RNA
Source: RNAcentral